CUCGCCGCCGCCGCCCCCUCCCGAUCCAGUCCUCCGUCUCACCCCCCUCCUCUCCCCUCAACCAAGGACGACGGAGAUCUAGUCCUCUCCCCGCGCGGCAACCCUUCCUCCCACCCACCGCCGACCUCGCCGUGCUCCUCACCCACCGCCCACCUCGCCCUCCCUCCCCUCACCAUCUCUCCCUACCCUCUGCCCUCUGCCCCCUGCCUCGAUCCCCCAGAUCCAAUCGACACAACCCCGCCGCCCCCGCACCCCGUACUGUCCACCAUGGCCGCCUCCUCCUCCUCCUCGCUCCGGAUCCCCGCCCCAACCCACCACCCCGCCGUGGGGGCGCGUCCGCGGCGGCUGCCCUUCCACGCCGUCUCCGUCCGCCCCCGCUGCUCCGCAGUCUCCUCCGUCUCCGCCUCCUCCCCGUCUUCGUCUGCUUCUUCGUGGGUUGAAUGAAUUGAUUGAUCGUGCAUGUGGUGUGGUGUGGCAGUUACAUGACGAGCCCGGAGCUGGACGAGGGCGUGGUGUAGAGGGAGCCGGCGGCGGCGUCGUGUGACGGCGGGGUGGCCGUGCAGGCGAGGGACGGGGUGUUCACGUGGGACGACGAGGAGACAGAGGCCGGGAAGGAGGUGCUUCGAGGCAUCGACCUGGAGAUCCGCAGCGGCAAGCUGGCCGCGGUGGUUGGCAUGGUCGGGUCCGGCAAGUCGUCGCUGCUCGGCUGCAUCCUCGGCGAGAUGCGCAAGGUCUCCGGCAAGUGAGAAUAAUGUAUGACAAAAACUCUGGAAGGUCAAGAGGCUUUGGUUUUGUCCAGUUCUCAAAUAAUUCUGAGGCUAAGUGUGCCAAGGACGCUAUGGAUGGAAAGCAUCGCAGAAAAGGUUGUGGAUUUCUAGGAAGAGCGAGCUGCUGUAUAUGUAAUGCAUGAUAAUCAUAAUAACCAUUGGACCUCCUGGACUCACAUGAUAACAAGAGUCUAGACUAAUGCUGAUUUCUGAGCGGACAAGGUGGUGAACCCGUUGUUCGAGAAGAGGCCGAAGCAGUUCGGCAUCGGUGGCGACCUGCCGCCCAAGAAGGACCUCCACCGGUUCGUCAAGUGUCCCAAGGUCAUGUGCAUCCAGUGCCAGCGCCGCAUCCUCAAGCAGCACCUCAAGGUGCCCCCCGCGCUCCACCAGUUCACACGCACCCUCGAUAAGAACCUCGGCCAUUGUUGUGAAGGCCGCCAAGGGAAGGAGUGGGGGAUUUGGCACAAGGCCGGUGAUCGAGUCUAUGCUCUCUCCUCCAUGGAAAGACCUAAAUUCAGCUUGACAGAGAGCACACGAAUGGUUUCAGCUUGACAACAAAUGUAUGAAACUUCGUAGCUGUGGACGACAACUACUUCCUUGAGAAGGACCAGCAUCACCCAUCAAGUAUGCCAUCGAGGGCGACGGCCGAAGGCAUGAUGAUAGUUCUAUUGCUGUUCUAGUGUAGCGAAGGUGGCCUAGUCGACUAUGGUCGCCUAGUGAGUCGUGCAUAUGGUUUCAUCUGACUGUAAACUUGAUGUAAACUGCUCCUAUUGUGGAGCUUGUUAUCUGAUUGUAAAGAGUUAAUUGUACAGAAGUACCACAAUUAGGGCAUUGGAAGCAGAUUGGUACCAAGUUUUGUAA
This is an RNA transcript of Aegilops tauschii subsp. strangulata, 1628 nucleotides long. RefSeq lists it as uncharacterized. Lineage: Eukaryota; Viridiplantae; Streptophyta; Magnoliopsida; Poales; Poaceae. The record is from RefSeq and is a predicted model, not a curated record.